RNAcentral lists this ribosomal RNA (468 nucleotides) under uncultured bacterium. Its description in RNAcentral is "partial 16S ribosomal RNA". It matches the Rfam family "Bacterial small subunit ribosomal RNA", at positions 28 to 507 of the family's 1533-position model. The record is from RNAcentral.
GACGAACGCUGGCGGCGUGCUUAACACAUGCAAGUCGAACGGAAAGGCCCUGCUCUUGUGGGGUGCUCGAGUGGCGAACGGGUGAGUAACACGUGAGUAAACUGCCCUUGACUUUGGGAUAACUUCAGGAAACUGGGGCUCAUACCGGAUAGGAGCUCCUGCUGCAUGGUGGGGGUUGGAAAGUUUCGGCGGUUGGGGAUGGACUCGCGGCUUAUCAGCUUGUUGGUGGGGUAGUGGCUUACCAAGGCUUUGACGGGUAGCCGGCCUGAGAGGGUGACCGGCCACAAUGGGACUGAGAUACGGCCCAGACGCCUACGGGAGGCAGCAGUGGGGAAUAUUGCACAAUGGGCGGAAGCCUGAUGCAGCAACGCCGCGUGCGGGAUGACGGCCUUCGGGUUGUAAACCGCUUUCGCCUGUGACGAAGCGUGAGUGACGGUAAUGGGUAAAGAAGCACCGGCUAACUACGUG